UGGGUUUGACAUAUACCGGAAAGCCGUAGAGAUACGGCCCCCCUUGUGGUCGGUAUACAGGUGGUGCAUGGCUGUCGUCAGCUCGUGCCGUGAGGUGUUGGGUUAAGUCCCGCAACGAGCGCAACCCUCGCCCUUAGUUGCCAUCAUUUGGUUGGGCACUCUAAGGGGACUGCCGGUGAUAAGCCGAGAGGAAGGUGGGGAUGACGUUUACCGACAGCU
RNAcentral lists this unclassified non-coding RNA (219 nucleotides) under uncultured bacterium. RNAcentral's name for it is "contains 16S-23S intergenic spacer region". It matches the Rfam family "Bacterial small subunit ribosomal RNA", at positions 976 to 1196 of the family's 1533-position model. The record is from RNAcentral.